CCUACGGGAGGCAGCAGUGAGGAAUAUUGGUCAAUGGCCGAGAGGCUGAACCAGCCAAGUCGCGUGAGGGAAGAAUGUCCUAUGGAUUGUAAACCUCUUUUGUCAGGGAGCAAAGUCACCCACGUGUGGGUGUUGGAGAGUACCUGAAGAAAAAGCAUCGGCUAACUCCGUGCCAGCAGCCGCGGUAAUACGGAGGAUGCGAGCGUUAUCCGGAUUUAUUGGGUUUAAAGGGUGCGUAGGCGGGCUUUUAAGUCAGCGGUAAAAAUUCGGGGCUCAACCCCGUCCGGCCGUUGAAACUGGGGGCCUUGAGUGGGCGAGAAGAAGGCGGAAUGCGUGGUGUAGCGGUGAAAUGCAUAGAUAUCACGCAGAACCCCGAUUGCGAAGGCAGCCUUCCGGCGCCCUACUGACGCUGAGGCACGAAAGUGCGGGGAUCGAACAGGAUUAGAUACCUGGGUAGUC
Molecule: ribosomal RNA, 459 nt
Filed under: uncultured bacterium
Lineage: Bacteria
Description: partial 16S ribosomal RNA
Rfam family: Bacterial small subunit ribosomal RNA
Source: RNAcentral